GCCUCAGUGGAGUAGUGGUAGAGCACGCGUCCCAUAAUAGAGCUGGAAACGUGGGUUCGAUUCCCGCUUGAGGCU
Parelaphostrongylus tenuis is the source of this 75-nucleotide non-coding RNA. Lineage: Eukaryota; Metazoa; Nematoda; Chromadorea; Rhabditida; Metastrongylidae. The record is from the annotation of a GenBank genome assembly.